ACGGGAGGCAGCAGUGGGGAAUAUUGGACAAUGGGGGGAAACCCUGAUCCAGCGACGCCGCGUGAGUGAAGAAGUAUUUCGGUAUGUAAAGCUCUAUCAGCAAGGAAGAAAAUGACGGUACUUGACUAAGAAGCUCCGGCUAAAUACGUGCCAGCAGCCGCGGUAAUACGUAUGGAGCAAGCGUUAUCCGGAUUUACUGGGUGUAAAGGGAGCGUAGACGGCAAAGCAAGUCUGAAGUGAAAUCCCGGGGCUCAACCCCGGAACUGCUUUGGAAACUGUUUAGCUAGAGUGCAGGAGAGGUAAGCGGAAUUCCUAGUGUAGCGGUGAAAUGCGUAGAUAUUAGGAGGAACACCAGUGGCGAAGGCGGCUUACUGGGCUGUAACUGACGUUGAGGCUCGAAAGCGUGGGGAGCAAACAGGAUUAGAUACCCUGGUA
This 435-nucleotide ribosomal RNA is filed under the name uncultured Lachnospiraceae bacterium. Its description in RNAcentral is "partial 16S ribosomal RNA". It matches the Rfam family "Bacterial small subunit ribosomal RNA", at positions 341 to 792 of the family's 1533-position model. Lineage: Bacteria; Bacillati; Bacillota; Clostridia; Lachnospirales; Lachnospiraceae. The record is from RNAcentral.